Homo sapiens (human) is the source of this 746-nucleotide long non-coding RNA. Ensembl annotates it as VLDLR antisense RNA 1. Its record names the gene VLDLR-AS1. The record is from Ensembl. Lineage: Eukaryota; Metazoa; Chordata; Mammalia; Primates; Hominidae.
GGAAUAUGAGAAAUGUCACCUCCUGGCUACCACAAUAAUGCAACUAGGAGUUCUGGUUCUCCGCUGACUACCCACAGGAGUCCUUAGAGGAACCACACAGGAAACCUGGGAAACCUAACACUCUGAUUCCAAGGCUCCAAGCUUGAUAUAGAAGACUAUCAUAUGAACCAGAAAGGGUAACUGAAACCAAAGAAAUGACUCCAGUAUCAAGCUAAAGACAUGCCUUAAAGGAUGAGGAGGAGCAGAAAUCUUACCAGCAAGGCAAGAAAGAAGCCGUACGUGAACAGCCUCUGCUUUAGGCCCAGAAGGAAAAGAAGCUUACAGGAGACAAUCAGUCUUACACUCUUCCAUGGUCACAAACAAGAGGUCCCUGGAUCUACAGGUCAUCUUGCCCCUGAAAUGGCCCUGGAAAGCUAUGGCUGAAGAAUGGAGGAAAAGAUGACUUUCUCUGUUUCUUCAGACCAGGCAUCAACUGGGAUGUUGGGAUGUUGAUAAAAGGACAUCUCAUCCUUUGUUUUCUGCCUAUGCUUUCACCAUACCCAUUCCCAUGUCUGGUCAUCACAGCAUCCUUCACAGCCCUUAGCUGAAUCAUGUUGAGUACAGGAUGGUGUGAAUAUCAUGGUUUGAAUGCAACCAUGGUCUGUCAGUGUGGCUUGUUUUUUGCAGCCCACUUAGACUUAAGCCCUCUUAAUUUCAAAAUUACGUUCAUAUGUGCCAAUAAAGUUGUCCCUACAUGAACUGAAAAA